Nicotiana tabacum (common tobacco) is the source of this 236-nucleotide non-coding RNA. Lineage: Eukaryota; Viridiplantae; Streptophyta; Magnoliopsida; Solanales; Solanaceae. The record is from RefSeq and is a predicted model, not a curated record.
CCCCAAAUACCAUCAACCCUAAUAUAAUCACCCUAAAUGCUCAAUAGCGCGGCCAGAAAAAACCCAAAAAAGUCUGCUUUCAAUUUAUUUCGGGUUGGUUGCUUGAUUAAGCUUGAAGCCAUCCACUGAUAUGUUCGUUGAUUAGUGUUUGAGUCGGGAAGUUCGAAUGGGGGUUGCUUAAUUAAGGCUGGAAGUUGUUUCUGUUAUUCGAUGAAAGUGGCACUUACUAUAAGAAG